This is a non-coding RNA of Podarcis lilfordi (Lilford's wall lizard), 71 nucleotides long. The record is from the annotation of a GenBank genome assembly. Lineage: Eukaryota; Metazoa; Chordata; Lepidosauria; Squamata; Lacertidae.
GGACCAUGGCUCACUGGCAGAGCACCUGAUUCCCACACAGUCGGUCCCGGGUUCAAUCCCCAAUGGCAUCG